RNAcentral lists this ribosomal RNA (507 nucleotides) under Berosus luridus. RNAcentral's name for it is "partial 16S ribosomal RNA". It matches the Rfam family "Bacterial large subunit ribosomal RNA", at positions 1819 to 2597 of the family's 2925-position model. The record is from RNAcentral. Lineage: Eukaryota; Metazoa; Arthropoda; Insecta; Coleoptera; Hydrophilidae.
GUCUUUUUGAUUAUAAUUUAAGGUCUGGCCUGCCCAAUGAUUUAAUUUAAUGGCCGCAGUAUUUUGACUGUGCAAAGGUAGCAUAAUCAUUAGUUUCUUAAUUAGGAACUGGUAUGAAUGGUUGGAUGAGGGAAAAACUGUCUCAACUUAAUUAUUUAGAACUUUAUUUUUGAGUUAAAAAGCUCAAAUUUUUUUUAAAGACGAGAAGACCCUUUAGAGUUUUAUAAUAAUAUAUUUUGUAUUUUUAGGGAUUGUUUAAUUAUUAAUAGAUUUAUUAUUUUGUUGGGGUGAUGGAAAAACUUAAUUAACUUUUUUUACUUAUUACACUUUUAAGUGAUUUAUUGAUCCAUUUUUUAUGAUCAUAAGAUUAAAUUACCUAAGGGAUAACAGCGUAAUCUUUAUGGAGAGUUCUUAUCGAUAUAAGGGUUUGCGACCUCGAUGUUGGAUUAAAAUUUAUUCUUGGUGUAGAAGCUAAAAGUUUUAGGUCUGUUCGACCUUUAAAAUUUU